UAGUGAUGUCUCCAUGAUACCUUGUUUGGGAUUUGCUUAAAUGCAAAUCUCUUGAUGUGUGUUUCACUCCAAUUUGCAUGGUCAGUGCGGAUCAUUCCCAAAGAGUCCCUUUCCUGUCUGAGCAGACACUUCAUGGAUGAAAACUGAAGUUUACCAACAGAAAAAUCCUAGGUUAAAGUGAAAGGCUGGUAUGUUUUGCAGCGAUGGGCCAUGGCCUUACAGGUGAGGAACCUGGCUGGAAAAGCAAGGCCUGGGACAAGAGCAUCUUGUCAUGUGUAAGUGUGAGAUACCCAUGUGCUGUUGAAGAUGAACACAGCGGGGCUUAUUCUGAGAGUAGUACGGUCUCUUCUGCAUCACGCAAUUAAAACUGGGUCUUUGAACACUGUGAACCCAGGAAGCUUUGCAUAUCAUUGAGAGCACCUGUGGGGAGAGGAGUAACACUCAGCCAGGGAUACGUGCUCAUGGGACCAGCUGGAGCAUCCUUUAGCAACCCAACAGGCUCCUGGUGGCGGGGGGGGAAGCAGAGUUUGGCUCUUAGUUAUCAAGCAAGGGGUUCUCUUUCAGAAAGUCUGAGAUUAGUCUCCACUGAGAUGCCAGGAAGGGAAACAGCAGCCAGGAAAUGACCUGUUUUUACAAUGCUGCUAGACCCAGAUUAAAGGGACUUUUGGCCAGGCCUGCUAUAACCAUUCCUUUGUUCCCAGCCUCCAAAUGGUAGCAAGACUGUUUCUGCAAAACAAGAAGCAGAGUUAAGCCUUAAAUUCUUAUUUAAGCCUAGUAGCUUGUAUCCUAGUUCUGAAACAUCCACAUUUGCUGUAAGAAAGCCAUUUUCCCUGCAGCACGGGUAGCACAACCUGUCAAUACGCUGAGGAUAGGUUUUUGGUGAGGCAGAUGAUCUCUAGAGCAUUUUGUGUACAAGCAGAGCAGGCACAGCAUUGCUGUGCUCAUUUUACAUGAGCAGGACAAGACUGGCGCCAAUCUGUUCUUCAUUAUUAAAUAUUUCUCCUUUUGUGGAGUCUGCUGCCAGCUUGCGGGACUAUUAGAACCACUCGGGUAUUCUGCCUGCUCAGACAUGGAGCUCAGGACCAAGAGGACAUCACACAAUCAAGGCACUGUGUGCCGACUCUUUUACCAUGCAUAUAUGCCCUUACAUAAGACAAGUCCUAUUGUGGUCCAUCCAUUCUUAGCCACCCAAUCCUGGUACCCGCAGGUGUCUUGGGUUUGGCUGACAGGUAAUAGAAUGGGCAGGAAGCACCAGGCAGGUUGGGGAUGUGUGGGCAGAUGUGAAGUCCAACAGAAGAGGGCUGUCUGCACUUUAUCAGCAGGAGGCUUAGUUUGCCACCUGCUUCCUGGCAGGCUUCCCAGAUAGUUUUGUCUUCUGCGCUGGAUAUUUAUAUACUUUCUUUAGGAUACACAGGUUAAAUCCCAGUCCCAUUCAAGCUCAUGGCUUUGCACUGUCUACCCUGGCCAGGUGUUUUCUGCACCGGUUACAAAAUAAUUACAUUGAAAGCAACAGAUCCUGCAGAAAACAAAUAAAUGGAGAUAAAAUAAUAAUGCUACUAAACCCCCAACAAACAGAUCCAGAUUCUAACUGAGUCAAUUUCAGCACGUACUUCCCAUUCACAUCAGAGGGGAGAGCUGGUGUGUAUGACAGGAAUUACAGAAGCCAUUGUGUGUUAGAAAGGCACGCUUUGUGGCACAUUUUAUGCAAUUUUAGUUGGAUUUAGCGUGGCAUUUACCUGUGCCAAAGCAAACUUUGAGUUUUGUGUCUCCAUUUGGUGUUACAAAAGCGUGGCACAGCAGUUGUAAUGGUCAAUGUAUAUUUGUUUAAUUCAAACUGUCAUUUCAGUUACUGAGUAAAGAGAAUAUGUUGCAUUAUCUCACAGCAGGA
Pezoporus occidentalis (night parrot) is the source of this 1888-nucleotide long non-coding RNA. RefSeq lists it as uncharacterized. The record is from RefSeq and is a predicted model, not a curated record. The transcript has 2 exons. NCBI's taxonomy places the organism in Eukaryota, Metazoa, Chordata, Aves, Psittaciformes, Psittacidae.